UUACUAGAGCAAAGGAUAGACAGCGCCCGCGGAGCUCGCUCCCGGGGCUACCCUACUCCCGUAGGGUUUAGAGUCGUCGGGCCUCUCGGAGAAGCUCGGUCCUGAACUCCACCCUUGAAUAAACUACCUUUGUUGCUUUGGCGGGCCGCCUCGUGCCAGCGGCUUCGGCUGUUGAGUGCCCGCCAGAGGACCCCAACUCUUGUUUUUAGUGAUGUCUGAGUACUAUAUAAUAGUUAAAACUUUCAACAACGGAUCUCUUGGUUCUGGCAUCGAUGAAGAACGCAGCGAAAUGCGAUAAGUAAUGUGAAUUGCAGAAUUCAGUGAAUCAUCGAAUCUUUGAACGCACAUUGCGCCCUCUGGUAUUCCGGGGGGCAUGCCUGUUCGAGCGUCAUUAUAACCACUCAAGCUCUCGCUUGGUAUUGGGGUUCGCGGUUUCGCGGCCCCUAAAAUCAGUGGCGGUGCCUGUCGGCUCUACGCGUAGUAAUACUCCUCGCGAUUGAGUCCGGUAGGUCUACUUGCCAGCAACCCCUAAUUUUUUUAAGGUUGACCUCGGAUCAGGUAGGGAUACCCGCUGAACUUAAGCAUAUCAAUAAGCGGAGGAAAAGAAACCAACAGGGAUUACCUCAGUAACGGCGAGUGAAGCGGUAACAGCUCAAAUUUGAAAGCUGGCUCUUUUAGGGUCCGCGUUGUAAUUUGUAGAAGAUGCUUCGGGUGUGGCCCCGGUCUAAGUUCCUUGGACAGACGUCAUAGAGGGUGAGAAUCCC
Molecule: ribosomal RNA, 764 nt
Filed under: fungal sp.
Lineage: Eukaryota; Fungi
Description: eukaryotic LSU rRNA
Rfam family: Eukaryotic large subunit ribosomal RNA (bases 545-764)
Source: RNAcentral